UAAAAAGCAUUUCAUAGCAAGGGCCGGGCAAGACCGGUGCCAGCCGCCGCGGUAACACCGGCGGCUCGAGUGGUAACCGUUAUUAUUGGGUCUAAAGGGUCUGUAGCCGGCCGGAUAAGUCUCUUGAGAAAUCUGGCAGCUUAACUGUCAGGCUUUCAGGAGAUACUGUCUGGCUCGAGGCCGGGAGAGGUGAGAGGUACUUCAGGGGUAGGGGUGAAAUCUUGUAAUCCUUGAAGGACCACCAGUGGCGAAGGCGUCUCACCANAACGGACCUGACGGCAAGGGACGAAAGCUAGGGGCACGAACCGGAUUAGAUACCCGGGUAGUCCUAGCCGUAAACGAUACUCGNUAGGUGUCGGCCACGGUGCNACCGUUGUCGGUGCCGUAGGGAAGCCGUGAAGCGAGCCACCUGGGAAGUACGGCCGCAAGGCUGAAACUUAAAGGAAUUGGCGGGGGAGCACCACAACGNGUGGAGCUUGCGGUUUAAUUGGAUUC
Molecule: ribosomal RNA, 495 nt
Filed under: uncultured Methanosaeta sp.
Lineage: Archaea; Methanobacteriati; Methanobacteriota; Methanomicrobia; Methanotrichales; Methanotrichaceae
Description: bacterial SSU rRNA
Rfam family: Archaeal small subunit ribosomal RNA
Source: RNAcentral